GAUGAACGCUAGCGGGAGGCUUAACACAUGCAAGUCGAGGGGCAGCAUAGGGUAGCAAUACUCUGAUGGCGACCGGCAAACGGGUGAGUAACGCGUAUGCAACCUACCCUGUACAGGGGGAUAACCCGGAGAAAUUCGGACUAAUAUCCCGUAAUAAUAUCCGGAGGCAUCUUUGGAUAUUUAAAGUUCCGACGGUACGGGAUGGGCAUGCGUAACAUUAGCUGGUUGGUAAGGUAACGGCUUACCAAGGCUAUGAUGUUUAGGGGUCCUGAGAGGGUGGUCCCCCACACUGGUACUGAGACACGGACCAGACUCCUACGGGAGGCAGCAGUGAGGAAUAUUGGUCAAUGGGCGCAAGCCUGAACCAGCCAUCCCGCGUGCAGGAAGACGGCCCUAUGGGUUGUAAACUGCUUUUCCAGGGAGAGAAACUUACGCACGUGUUGCGUGACUGACGGUACCCUGGGAAUAAGCAUCGGCUAACUCCGUGCCAGCAGCCGCGGUAAUAGUGUGUGUAC
Molecule: ribosomal RNA, 515 nt
Filed under: uncultured bacterium
Lineage: Bacteria
Description: bacterial SSU rRNA
Rfam family: Bacterial small subunit ribosomal RNA
Source: RNAcentral